This 1177-nucleotide ribosomal RNA is filed under the name uncultured bacterium. RNAcentral describes it as "bacterial SSU rRNA". It matches the Rfam family "Bacterial small subunit ribosomal RNA", at positions 25 to 1163 of the family's 1533-position model. The record is from RNAcentral.
CAGGACGAACGCUGGCGGCGUGCCUAAUACAUGCAAGUCGAACGCACUGACGUCGACAGAAGGUGCUUGCACUGGAAGUUGAUUGACGUGAGUGGCGGACGGGUGAGUAACACGUGGGUAACCUGCCCUUAAGCGGGGGAUAACAUUUGGAAACAGAUGCUAAUACCGCAUAAAAGUUGAGAUCACAUGGUCUUAAUUUGAAAGACGGCCCUUUGGCUGUCACUUAAGGGAUGGACCCGCGGCGUAUUAACUAGUUGGUGAGAUAAUAGCCCACCAAGGCGAUGAUAGGUAGCCGACCUGAGAGGGUAAUUCGGCCACAUGGGGACUGAAACACGGCCCAAACUCCCUACGGGAGGCAGUAGUAGGGAAUCUUCCACAAUGGACGAAAGUCUGAUGGAGCAACGCCGCGUGAGUGAAGAAGGUUUUCGGAUCGUAAAACUCUGUUGUUGGAGAAGAACAGGGACUAGAGUAACUGUUAGUCCUUUGACGGUAUCCAACCAGAAAGCCACGGCUAACUACGUGCCAGCAGCCGCGGUAAUACGUAGGUGGCAAGCGUUGUCCGGAUUUAUUGGGCGUAAAGCGAGCGCAGGCGGUUUCUUAAGUCUGAUGUGAAAGCCUUCGGCUUAACCGAAGAAGUGCAUCAGAUACUGGGAAACUUGAGUGCAGAAGAGGAAAGUGGAACUCCAUGUGUAGCGGUGAAAUGCGUAGAUAUAUGGAAGAACACCAGUGGCGAAGGCGGCUUUCUGGUCUGUAACUGACGCUGAGGCUCGAAAGUAUGGGGAGCGAACAGGAUUAGAUACCCUGGUAGUCCAUACCGUAAACGAUGAAUGCUAAGUGUUGGAGGGUUUCCGCCCUUCAGUGCUGCAGCUAACGCAUUAAGCAUUCCGCCUGGGGAGUACGACCGCAAGGUUGAAACUCAAAGGAAUUGACGGGGGCCCGCACAAGCGGUGGAGCAUGUGGUUUAAUUCGAAGCUACGCGAAGAACCUUACCAGGUCUUGACAUCUAGCGCCAAUCCUAGAGAUAGGACGUUCCCUUCGGGGACGCUAAGACAGGUGGUGCAUGGUUGUCGUCAGCUCGUGUCGUGAGAUGUUGGGUUAAGUCCCGCAACGAGCGCAACCCUUAUGAUUAGUUGCCAGCAUUUAGUUGGGCACUCUAAUCAGACUGCCGGUGACAAAC